Molecule: long non-coding RNA, 1035 nt
Organism: Ailuropoda melanoleuca (giant panda)
Lineage: Eukaryota; Metazoa; Chordata; Mammalia; Carnivora; Ursidae
Exons: 3
Source: RefSeq, a predicted model, not a curated record
GGUCUCUGGCUCUCCCUUAAACUGAGGCGCGACGGCGUGGCCUGAGGGGGCGCUCAGUACUCCCCGCCGCCUUGUUCUCUCUUAGCUCCACCACCCCAUCGGAAGUAAACAAGCGAAGCUAAGGCAACACGGAGGCUUGCUACGCUAAUGCGGCCUCAAGAACGGAUCCCGGUCCCCUUCCAACCAAAUGCACCCGCCCCGCCAAACAAAUUCAGAAGGCGCUUCCACUGUGCUGUGGGUGACCGAGGGCCCGCUGUCCCCGCCCCUCGGUCCCGCUCCCUUAGGAUCCUGCCUCGGGGGCUGGAGGUCAUGAGUUGCCAUUCUUGCCUGGGCCCCCGUUCGUGGCCUGUGGCCACGGCGACGGCCACACCAGCCUAGUUUCAUCUCAGGGUUUCAUCCACUCAGACGAGGUGAAAGGACUCCGUGUCUCCUCACCCCACCGUUUGGUGUGGCCCGCGGUUUCCAUGGCUCCCGGAAGCCAGGACCGCGUGGGCCGCUGAGGGUGGGGGAGCGCGGAGAGGCUCCUGUCUCCAGCCCUGCCCUGGGCGCCAGGCUCCAAGGGGGUAAGGCGAGGGGGUAAGUCGGGCCCAUCUUCCCAGCAGCCCUUCCCACAACGGGAACCCCGGAGUCCCUGCCUCCCGGUAAGGAAGCCGCUCUCAUUCUCUGAAACGGAGUAGGAGCCAUCUCCCAGAUUCCUCUCCAAAAUCUUCAGUUCAGUAGCUGUCCCGUGUCUCAGAUUCUACCAUUAGAGCUUCCUUCUUUUUGUCCCUGAAAGAACUCACACCUAGAAGAAAAAGAGGCAGAGUUACCAGAUAGGCACUUGGAAAAAGAUCUAACCCGAGGUGAAAUACGGGCGCAGGCCAUGGAAGAGCCCCGGGCAAGCCCCCAGAGUCUGCACAGGACAGAGCUUUGUCAGCUGGGCCACGUGCUUCCAGAAUCGGAAUCCUACGCAACUCUGUCACUCUAUACUGCCUCCAUCUACUGACUUAACUGAAGCAGAGUUUUGCAGAUGGGGACUCUGGCAGGGUGUGACAG